RNAcentral lists this microRNA precursor (205 nucleotides) under Oryza glumipatula. RNAcentral describes it as "MIR812 microRNA precursor family". It matches the Rfam family "MIR812 microRNA precursor family". Lineage: Eukaryota; Viridiplantae; Streptophyta; Magnoliopsida; Poales; Poaceae. The record is from Rfam by way of RNAcentral.
AAAAAGACAAACUCUGAUUUUCGUGUCCAACGUUUGACCGUCCGUCUCAUUUAAAAAAAUUAUGAAAAAAAAUAAAAAGAUAAGUGACGCAUAAAGUAUUAAUCAUGUUUUAUCAUCUAACAACAAUGAAAAUACUAAUUAUAAAUUUUUUUUAUAUAAGACGGACAGUCAAAUAUUGGCACGGAAACCCAUAGUUUGUCUUUUU